AUGUGAAAAGCGCACGUAUAAAAAGGCAAUAUUUGGUUGGAAUAAAAUGUCAAAGCAAGUCCACCAGUAUCACAAAAAACACUGCAGAAAAAUUAGCGCAAUAAAUAUUUGUUGAUUUCUAGCAAUAAUGGAUACCGAUACCUAUAAGAUUGUGUUGCUCAUCGGAGCUUAAAUUUGAGUUGAUUUAACACGCUGAAGAUGCCUCCCUGAAGAGUUCCUGAAAUCUUCCCGGAACAAAUGCGUUAAACCCAUUUUACUUAAAUUACGACAAGGAUAACUUUAGUGUUAGUUACGUGAAUGGAUAUGGCCAAAGUUGCAGGGAAAACGGAGGCUACAAUGGAUUCCGCUAGUUUAAUUCUGCGUUGCAUAACAGCAACUGUAAAAACAAUUUGUAUCCACUUAAUCCUAUAAUGUGCUUCACAAUAAAUAUCUAUUAUAGCAAAUACAAACCUGGUGCAUUCACUUAAGAACUUA
This is a long non-coding RNA of Daphnia pulicaria, 474 nucleotides long. RefSeq lists it as uncharacterized. The transcript has 3 exons. The record is from RefSeq and is a predicted model, not a curated record. Lineage: Eukaryota; Metazoa; Arthropoda; Branchiopoda; Diplostraca; Daphniidae.